RNAcentral lists this ribosomal RNA (429 nucleotides) under Pseudomonadota bacterium. Its description in RNAcentral is "Proteobacteria bacterium partial 16S ribosomal RNA". It matches the Rfam family "Bacterial small subunit ribosomal RNA", at positions 355 to 776 of the family's 1533-position model. The record is from RNAcentral. Lineage: Bacteria; Pseudomonadati; Pseudomonadota.
UGGGGAAUAUUGGACAAUGGGCGAAAGCCUGAUCCAGCCAUGCCGCGUGCGUGAAGAAGGUCUUCGGAUUGUAAAGCACUUUAAGUUGGGAGGAAGGGCAGUAAGCGAAUACCUUGCUGUUUUGACGUUACCGACAGAAUAAGCACCGGCUAACUCUGUGCCAGCAGCCGCGGUAAUACAGAGGGUGCAAGCGUUAAUCGGAAUUACUGGGCGUAAAGCGCGCGUAGGUGGUUCGUUAAGUUGAAUGUGAAAUCCCCGAGCUUAACUUGGGAAUUGCAUUCGAUACUGGUUAGCUAGAGUGUGGGAGAGGAUGGUAGAAUUCCAGGUGUAGCGGUGAAAUGCGUAGAGAGCUGGAGGAAUACCGAUGGCGAAGGCAGCCAUCUGGCAUGACAAUGACGCUGAGGUGCGAAAGCAUGGGGAGCAAACAGG